CUAGAAUUGUCUUGGAAUCAGAAACCUUGAAAAAGGGCAAAAUUGAUGCUUGCAGGUCCCACAUGCUACUAGAAAGGCUCACACUGAGAUGAUCAGGAUGGCUUUUGUGGCGCUAAAUCGAGAGGAAAAGUGGAUCGGCUGGCAACCGAGAAAAGGCCUGGUCUGGUUCUGUUUGAUAGUUUGGACUGAUAUGUAUUUUCUCAGCGUGAGUAUACUCGGGCUCUCAUUGUCAGAGGCAGAGCAAUCAGAAAAAGACGACAGACCCACUGAGAACCGCAGGUAAGCGGGACGCAAUAACCCUCAAAAUAAAGCUUGACGUCCGCACGUCUCCUUUGAAUAUAGAACGGCGACUGGACUCUACUUCAACUCUGUGGAAUGAAACUACAGGGAUAAAGACCCGCUCCCUCAGAAUGCCCAACAAAUUGCGGCAAGUCACAUGUCCGCCGAUCGCCGUCCGCUCAGGCGUAACAAUGGAGGCAGUUUAAACUGGAAUGCUUCAGCUCCAGUCGAGUUUCUUGAGAGUCUGCUGUGUGGAGCGAAGAUUAAUAGGAGAUUCAUUAUAGGAAAGGACAAAUCAUCGUCUAAUUGUUUCAAAGAAAAUGCCACAUCUUCCUGAAU
Molecule: long non-coding RNA, 618 nt
Organism: Labeo rohita (rohu)
Lineage: Eukaryota; Metazoa; Chordata; Actinopteri; Cypriniformes; Cyprinidae
Exons: 3
Source: RefSeq, a predicted model, not a curated record